AAAGAACUUGUGUAAACACAAGAUAAUAAAGAAGUAGAAGGAAAACUAAGCUAAUUCCAGGAGCUCAACUUUGCAUAA
This 78-nucleotide long non-coding RNA is filed under the name Castor canadensis (American beaver). RNAcentral describes it as "ST7 overlapping transcript 3 conserved region 1 (ENSCCNG00000000986.1)". It matches the Rfam family "ST7 overlapping transcript 3 conserved region 1". The record is from RNAcentral. Lineage: Eukaryota; Metazoa; Chordata; Mammalia; Rodentia; Castoridae.